GAUCUCUCUGCUUCCAAGAUCUUACUUCCUAAAGAAGAACUUUUUUUUUCCCUUGGCACAGUAAAGAGGAAGAUUAUCUCUCUUACUUGUUGAUGCUUCCGUGUGGAUGUUAUAGAGCUGGUCUGUGGAAGAGCAGGAUGAAUUUGUGCUAGCAUAAGGCCUUCGCUUAGUUUUCCUUCUUGCAUGGAAGAAGAAAAGACCCUUCAAUAGCUGCUGAACUGUGAUGUGUGGAGCUCAGAAAAUGUGCUGCCAGGAAGGAGGGUGAGGGACAUUUGUUACCUGUUCUUCCACCACAGACAUAUUCAUGUGAGGGACGAGCCGGAUUGAAAAUUUUCCUGUAACUCGGCCAGGUCCAGAUCGAUGGAUUUGUAUAUAUUUCUUUCCUUUUCUGUAAGAGGAGCCACGUGGUCAUAGAUUCCAGGGAUCAGGAUACGACCAGAAGAGUCUACAAGGCUAC
Long non-coding RNA from Nycticebus coucang (slow loris), 457 nucleotides. RefSeq lists it as uncharacterized. The record is from RefSeq and is a predicted model, not a curated record. The transcript has 3 exons. Lineage: Eukaryota; Metazoa; Chordata; Mammalia; Primates; Lorisidae.